Molecule: long non-coding RNA, 1499 nt
Filed under: Equus asinus (donkey)
Lineage: Eukaryota; Metazoa; Chordata; Mammalia; Perissodactyla; Equidae
Description: lncRNA (ENSEASG00005030116.1)
Source: RNAcentral
AAGGAUGUAUAGAGUAAACAUUGACAGGAUUGAAGAGCCAUGAUGACUUGGCCCACACAUGUGGGAUAAAGGAGAGCUUGUUGAAAAGAUAGCUCUAAAUCUGGGCUAACUGGGGUAACAGCUGCUCCUGAGGCAUUCAGGCAAAUACGUAAAAUCUCCGUUCCUCUGGCGCCAAUCACUCUGACAGCCCAAUUGUGACUCAUUACAUUCUAGCCCACAGAACUCCAUUUAAAACAGGUGAGGGAAUUUUUUUAUUGCUGUGUGGUGAAGUUUCAGACAAGAAGGCUAAAGAGGUGUCCUCAAUCAGAUGGAUGAUUAGACUCCUUGUGAAAUCAGAGGGAAAGAAGAGACUUAUGGGGAGAAGAUUCUCACAGGUCCAUUGCUGACAUAGUAGGCAGAUGCUGAAAAGUACCCUGAAUAGGGGUAAUUCUCUCAGGAACACAGCAGGGAAAUGGAUCCUUGAACUUCUCACGACCUGAGUUUUGCACCAAGCUUCUCUCCUGAGAAUGGACAUGGGGAUCAAGUUCAACACAUAGUCAGAGAGGGCGUGAAAGAGUUCUUAGAAUUUGGGACCACUGGCCCUCCUUCCAUGUUACCACCCAGCACCUCUUCUUCGGUAGCAUGAUGGAUGACAGAACUAUUUAUGAACUUCUCAGCCUUCAGCUGCCUGGAUACAUGGAGCACGAGCGUUUUAGUUUUUUACCAGAACUUUACCACUGUUGCCUAAAGAGACAUUGACAAGGGAAUAUGUCUAAUAUUGGUGGGAUUUCAAACAUAAAUAAUUUCAAAACCCGUGUUGUAUCACCCCUACUCUUCAUUCUGUAGCAAAAAGGAUAGGACAUCACUACCUGCUCAGGAAAUGCCUUCGUUCUGCUCCUCCCCUGAUCCCCUACCAGUAGUCACAGGACCUUCUCAAUUUCAUUCAGUUCAGAAAGGUCUUUUGCCCCUUAAUCCAUUCACAGAAGAUGAAAUUAUGUGUAGUAACUUUUUAAAAAUCUUCAAAUCCCGGCUAUAUUCCUUAAAGCUGUGACAAAGUGCUUGAGCCUCAAAAUCCUAUUUUGGAAAAUUGGUGAUGACAAUGUCUACUUCCCAGUGUUCUUAGAAGCCAUUAGGGCUGCCAUAGGCAGCAUUUUUACAUCAGUGCCUAUCAUUGAACUAAAAACAAUUGCUUUACUGAUCCUAUCUAUUUCCCUGAGAUAGUAAUCCUUUGACACAUCAGUUUGUAUUACUGGAAUAAACACUUCAGUGUCCUGGUAUUCCAGUCUUUACUGCCUUCCUCCCUUCCAAUCCAUUCUCCACUAGCUGCCAGCUUAAUAUAUCCAAAUGUUUGCCAGUUUCUUAAAUCAUCAUGGCUGACUGUUUACUCACAGAUUAAGUCCAGGAUCCCUAAUUUGUAUUCUAAGCAAAUCUGCUUUGGCUUCCAUCUUUUCUCCAGUUACUCAGACUUACAAUGCCACAACCACACAGAGCUGAAAGUGGUUUUAAACACACCUGGUAUU